Molecule: ribosomal RNA, 43 nt
Filed under: Seirophora villosa
Lineage: Eukaryota; Fungi; Ascomycota; Lecanoromycetes; Teloschistales; Teloschistaceae
Description: partial 18S ribosomal RNA
Source: RNAcentral
UCGUAACAAGGUUUCCGUAAGUGAACCUGCAGAAUGAUCAUUA